CUUGCUUCCCUCCUUGGCUCCUCCACCCCGUCUUCCUGAGACGAAUGUUUGCCGUGUGGGAAGGAUUGAGAUCCCACCUCAAUCCGUCCGCUACCCGGGACCGAUUGAUAUUACUGAGGACCAUAUUGCCGACGCGCCAGAGGGUUUCAGACAAGCGCAGGAGUCUUUGCCUGAUGUUUUUGAGCCGCCUACCCGCCCGAAGAUGAUGGGAUUCAUGAAGCUAGUUG
Chenopodium quinoa (quinoa) is the source of this 227-nucleotide long non-coding RNA. RefSeq lists it as uncharacterized. Lineage: Eukaryota; Viridiplantae; Streptophyta; Magnoliopsida; Caryophyllales; Amaranthaceae. The transcript is spliced from 3 exons. The record is from RefSeq and is a predicted model, not a curated record.